Molecule: ribosomal RNA, 301 nt
Filed under: uncultured bacterium
Lineage: Bacteria
Description: partial 16S ribosomal RNA
Rfam family: Bacterial small subunit ribosomal RNA
Source: RNAcentral
CAGCCGCCGCGGUAAUACGUAGGGUGCGAGCGUUAAUCGGAAUUACUGGGCGUAAAGCGUGCGCAGGCGGUUCGUUAAGACAGAUGUGAAAUCCCCGGGCUUAACCUGGGAACUGCAUUUGAUACUGUUUGGCUUGAGUUCGGGAGAGGUGAGUGGAAUUCCUGGUGUAGCGGUGAAAUUCGUAGAUAUUCGGAAGAACACCAGUGGCGAAGGCGGCCCGUUGGACAUGUAUUGACGCUGAGGUGCGAAAGCGUGGGGAGCAAACAGGAUUAGAUACCCCUGUAGUCCCUGUCUCUUAUAC